This 253-nucleotide unclassified non-coding RNA is filed under the name Hevea brasiliensis (rubber tree). The record is from RNAcentral. Lineage: Eukaryota; Viridiplantae; Streptophyta; Magnoliopsida; Malpighiales; Euphorbiaceae.
AGGGCUUGUAAAUUUAUAAAAAAGCAAAGGAUAUAAAAGUAAAAAAGAAGUUCAAUCCACUCUUCGAACCUCUAAAUGUUAGGAGAAAUAUAGCUUUUUAUAAACCAUUGGUUCAACCUCUAAAUGCUAAUAUAAAAGCUAAGUUAUUGAACAACAUAAAUAAUAGAAAUAAUAUUUUGAUUAUAGUAAAAAAGCUAAACUUAACCUAAAAAACUAUUGCAGAACAGGGUUGUUGCCGAACAAAGGCUUAAUA